CCGAGCACCGAGCCUCCCCUCGUGCUGAUGACCUGCUCCGGCGCCACCUGCUCCUCCACCGCCUCCAUCCGCCACUCCUCUCAAUUCCACGCGCACCCCUCUCCGUCAGCCCCUGCGCCGCGGCGCAUGCAACCAGCACAACAAGAUAAGCGUAGGCGGCGGCGGCGGCGGCGAGAAGCGUAGGCGGCGGCGGAGGAGGAGGCGGAAGGCGAUAACGCGGCGAGAUGGGAGGAUGCGGGGAGCGGGCGGCCAAUAGGCGAGGCGAG
RNAcentral lists this long non-coding RNA (266 nucleotides) under Oryza sativa (Asian cultivated rice). RNAcentral describes it as "long non-coding RNA (OSAT_LNC000586)". The record is from RNAcentral. Lineage: Eukaryota; Viridiplantae; Streptophyta; Magnoliopsida; Poales; Poaceae.